Molecule: ribosomal RNA, 492 nt
Filed under: uncultured bacterium
Lineage: Bacteria
Description: partial 16S ribosomal RNA
Rfam family: Bacterial small subunit ribosomal RNA
Source: RNAcentral
AGUGAACGCUGGCGGUAGGCCUAACACAUGCAAGUCGAACGGCAGCACAGUAAGAGCUUGCUCUUACGGGUGGCGAGUGGCGGACGGGUGAGGAAUACAUCGGAAUCUACUUUUUCGUGGGGGAUAACGUAGGGAAACUUACGCUAAUACCGCAUACGACCUACGUGUGAAAGCAGGGGAUCUUCGGACCUUGCGCGAUUGAAUGAGCCGAUGUCGGAUUAGCUAGUUGGCGGGGUAAAGGCCCACCAAGGCGACGAUCCGUAGCGGGUCUGAGAGGAUGAUCAGCCACACUGGAACUGGGACACGGUCCAGAGUCCUACGGGAGGCAGCAGUGGGGAAUAUUGGACAAUGGGCGCAAGCCUGAUCCAGCCAGACCGCGUGGGUGAAGAAGGCCUUCGGGUUGUAAAGCCCUUUUGUUGGGAAAGAAAAGCAGCAGGUUAAUACCCCGCUGUUCUGACGGUACCCAAAGAAUAAGCACCGGCUAACUUCGUG